Molecule: transfer RNA, 73 nt
Filed under: Enterocloster clostridioformis
Lineage: Bacteria; Bacillati; Bacillota; Clostridia; Lachnospirales; Lachnospiraceae
Also listed under: 1 other name
Description: [Clostridium] clostridioforme tRNA-Ala
Rfam family: tRNA
About the family: Transfer RNA (tRNA) molecules are approximately 80 nucleotides in length. Their secondary structure includes four short double-helical elements and three loops (D, anti-codon, and T loops).
Source: RNAcentral
GGGAUCGUAGCUCAGCUGGGAGAGCGUCCGCCCUGCAAGCGGAAGGCCGCAGGUUCAAACCCCGCCGGUUCCA